UAAAUACUCCCUCCAUCCAACAAAAACGUCUCGAGUUUGUCAAAAUUUGAAUGUAUCUAGACAUGACUUAGUGUAUAGAUUCAUUUAAAUUUAAUCAAAGUUGAGACAUCCUUCGUUGGACGAAGGGAGUACUUC
Brachypodium distachyon (stiff brome) is the source of this 135-nucleotide non-coding RNA. The record is from Rfam. NCBI's taxonomy places the organism in Eukaryota, Viridiplantae, Streptophyta, Magnoliopsida, Poales, Poaceae.